Molecule: long non-coding RNA, 289 nt
Filed under: Brassica napus (rape)
Lineage: Eukaryota; Viridiplantae; Streptophyta; Magnoliopsida; Brassicales; Brassicaceae
Description: long non-coding RNA (BNAP_LNC012630)
Source: RNAcentral
GAGGCGACUAGCAGAUCAGCAUGCAAGGAUGAUAGGUUUUGUUGUGAAACAGUCGCGGUUUCCACGGUACAUGGGGCGGAUGAGAGAAGGUUGGAGGGAAGGCGGAGGAGCUCCAUGACGGGUGAAAUCAGAGUUGGCUUUGCCAAGGGACAUCAUGGGAGACGGUAUGUAGUGGUGGAGACGCAGCGGAGACAGAGAGACAAGCAGAUAUGGCACUUUCACUCUCUCUGAACAGAGGAGAGGCGACGUCGAGAGGAGUGACGGGAGAGACGACAACAAUGGCGACGAC